RNAcentral lists this microRNA precursor (52 nucleotides) under Chlorocebus sabaeus (green monkey). Its description in RNAcentral is "miRNA (ENSCSAG00000023886.1)". The record is from RNAcentral. Lineage: Eukaryota; Metazoa; Chordata; Mammalia; Primates; Cercopithecidae.
AUGAAUGUGUGUGUGCAUGUAUGCAUGCAUGCAUGUGUAUAAAUAUUUGCAC